This is a long non-coding RNA of Gekko japonicus, 1285 nucleotides long. RefSeq lists it as uncharacterized. Lineage: Eukaryota; Metazoa; Chordata; Lepidosauria; Squamata; Gekkonidae. The record is from RefSeq and is a predicted model, not a curated record. The transcript is spliced from 2 exons.
AGUACGACAGCGGUGAGCCAACCAUCCCAUCAACUAUCGGGGAGGAGUUCACCUACAACCCGUUCAUGAGAGUGAGAGAGACAACCGUUCAACAGCACGCCCGGGAGAGGGACCCCAUCCGGACGAUGGGAGCGAUCCGGAAAGAGAAAGAUGCCUUCCGGGUCCCCAAAGACUGAACUCUCGUCCCCGAUUCUUCUGCUGCUUGUGAAAAAAAAAAUACAGAUUAAUUUAGUUUACGGGAGUUCAGUCGGUGUGUUCCGUUUUAGAAUCAUUCAUGUUUAGGAAAUAAUUUUGUUUGAAAAGGAAAAACAAACAAACACAACUCGAGGCACUUUCUGGUUGUCGGAAAUGUUCUAAAUGCCAUUUUGAAGGUGUUAAAAACCCAACUAUUCUUUCGUCCCCGGGAUGUCAGGCGUGGCGAUACUUCACGUCCCGUCCCCGCUUUGAAAAGCAUGGAUGAAUUCUGGACGGGGUGGGGGGAGCAACUGGUUUUUUUUGUUAUGGGAUGGAAUUUGGAGUAACCAGCAUGACAGGAUUUAUCUUUUCACAGGACGCAGCUCUGAGCUUUCUUUUCUUUCUUUGCAAGAAAACCCAACACCUGUGAGGCUUGGGGAAAAUAAACCCUUCUGAUGUGGUACCUUGUGGUACAAUCCUCAGCUGUAUAACUUUGUGUGUGUGUGUGUGUGUGUGUGUUCUCUGUUUCUGCACCUCUGAGGACGUUGGGGGAAUUAACUCUCAGUGGCUGUGUGGCUGGAUCCUGAGACUCCUUGAAAGAACACAAGACAACUUCCUGAGCAUGCAGACGUUCAUUCGCUUCUCCGGGAAACACCCCAAAAAUACAAGUUUCUUUGGUUGGGGCUGUGCAGAUCUUCUGGGAGCAUAAAAGCACCAACUCCCUCCCGGAUACGGCAGAAGAGAGAGCGAACCGGGCUUCUAGCGAAGGGUGGAGCUGCUCCUUAAGCAGGAGGUGCCAGGAAACGGAUCAGUGUGGAGUAAACUCUUUCGCUGCUUCCGUGCAAGGAAUGGUGUGAAUUGUCCUCCUCCUUGGAAACAGCUGGAACCCACUAACCAAAUGGCCACAGUCCUCUUUGGGGACACCUGGACCGCUUCCUUGAAAGGUUUCUCUGCGAUUUCAACUAGGCCGCCUUCUUUGCCGACCAGACGUGGCGUCUCUCAGAAACUCGUUCUGUAUGGACAGCCGGGUGUAGAUGAAUCGUCUCUUGUUCCAUGUCAAUAGACCUAAAAUGUAAUAUAUAUACAGAUGUAUAUUAAAUUGCUGAGCUCA